CCUACGGGGGGCUGCAGUAAGGAAUAUUGGUCAAUGGACGAAAGUCUGAACCAGCCAUGCCGCGUGGAGGAUGAAGGUCCUCUGGAUUGUAAACUUCUUUUAUAUGGGACGAAAAAAGGCCUUUCCAGGUCGUCUGACGGUACCAUAUGAAUAAGCACCGGCUAACUCCGUGCCAGCAGCCGCGGUAAUACGGAGGGUGCAAGCGUUGUGCGGAUUCACUGGGUUUAGAGGGUGCGUUAAUGGGUUGGUAAAAUCCCCGGGCUUAACUUGGGAACUGCCAUUGAUACUAUCAGUCUUGAAUACCGUGGAGGUCAGCGGAAUAUGUCAUGUAGCGGUGAAAUGCUUAGAUAUGACAUAGAACACCAAUUGCGAAGGCAGCUGGCUACACGAGUAUUGACACUGAGGCACGAAAGCGUGGGGAUCAAACAGGAUUAGAUACCCGUGUAGUC
This 449-nucleotide ribosomal RNA is filed under the name uncultured bacterium. Its description in RNAcentral is "partial 16S ribosomal RNA". It matches the Rfam family "Bacterial small subunit ribosomal RNA", at positions 338 to 795 of the family's 1533-position model. The record is from RNAcentral.